AGCCAAUCAGUAAUGACCACCACCAUUAUUAUUACCGACAUCACACAUGUUGGGGCAGGCUGCUGAACGAAAGAAAUUCCAAAAAAAGGCCUGUAUCCAACAAGAUACAGGCCUUUUUUUA
Vibrio sp. is the source of this 121-nucleotide non-coding RNA. Lineage: Bacteria; Pseudomonadati; Pseudomonadota; Gammaproteobacteria; Vibrionales; Vibrionaceae. The record is from Rfam.